Molecule: ribosomal RNA, 468 nt
Filed under: uncultured bacterium
Lineage: Bacteria
Description: partial 16S ribosomal RNA
Rfam family: Bacterial small subunit ribosomal RNA
Source: RNAcentral
GACGAACGCUGGCGGCGUGCUUAACACAUGCAAGUCGAACGGAAAGGCCCUGCUUUUGUGGGGUGCUCGAGUGGCGAACGGGUGAGUAACACGUGAGUAACCUGCCCUUGACUGUGGGAUAACUUCAGGAAACUGGGGCUAAUACCGGAUAGGAGCUCCUGCUGCAUGGUGGGGGUUGGAAAGUUUCGGCGGUUGGGGAUGGACUCGCGUCUUAUCAGCUUGUUGGUGGGGUAGUGUCUUACCAAGGCUUUGACGGGUAGCCGGCCUGAGAGGGUGACAGGCCAAAUUGGGAUUGAGCUAAGGCCCAGCCUCCUCCGGGAGGCAGCAGUGGGGAAUAGUGCACAAUGGGCGGAAGCAUGAUGCAGUACAGCAGUGUGCGGGAUGACGGCAUUCGGGUUGUAUACCGAUUUCCCCUGUGCCGAAGCGUGAGUGACGGUAAUGGGUAAAGAAGCACCGGCUAACUCCGUG